Molecule: unclassified non-coding RNA, 336 nt
Filed under: Hevea brasiliensis (rubber tree)
Lineage: Eukaryota; Viridiplantae; Streptophyta; Magnoliopsida; Malpighiales; Euphorbiaceae
Source: RNAcentral
GUUUUUAUGGUAUGUUCUAGUUCAGAAUUGCAUGUUGCUUGUCUCUUUUUAAAUUAAAUUUUGCAGAUUUAGGCAUGGAUGUGGUCCACAAAAUUGAAUUUCACGUUGCUCGUCUCUUGUUAAAUUGAAUUUUGCAGAUGUAGACUUGCAUGAUGUCCACAAAAUUGAGUUUCGUGUUGCUUGUCUCUUGUUGAAUACAUUAUUUUGCUAAAAAUAAGUCUUUAAAUUGGCCUUUUAGUUCUAAAUAAAAUGUGGUGAAUUUGGUUUUUUCGCUUUGAGCUAUUCCAAUGAUUCCAUACUGCCCUUUACUCAGGUUUUUACAGCUGCUGCCGCUGA